CCCUUAGAUGUUCUGGGCCGCACGCGCGCUACACUGAUGCAUUCAACGAGCCUAUCCUUGACCGACAGGUCUGGGUAAUCUUUGAAUCUGCAUCGUGACGGGGAUAGAUUAUUGCAAUUAUUAAUCUUCAACGAGGAAUGCCUAGUAGGCGCAAGUCAUCAGCUUGCGUCGAUUACGUCCCUGCCCUUUGUACACACCGCCCGUCGCUCCUACCGAUUGGGUGUGCUGGUGAAAUGUUCGGAUCGGCCGUUUGUCGCGGUUUCCGCGGCUCGUGGCUGAGAAGUUCAUUAAACCCUCCCACCUAGAGGAAGGAGAAGUCGUAACA
This 325-nucleotide ribosomal RNA is filed under the name uncultured eukaryote. RNAcentral describes it as "partial 18S ribosomal RNA". It matches the Rfam family "Eukaryotic small subunit ribosomal RNA", at positions 1470 to 1796 of the family's 1831-position model. The record is from RNAcentral.